AGUCUUUUAAWGGKGACUUGUAUGAAUGAUUGGAUGAAAWAUWAACUGGCUCUUUWUUAUUAAGUGGAAUUUAAUUUUUUAAUUAAAAAGUUAAAAUGUAAUUAAAAGACGAGAAGACCCCAUAGAGUUUUAUAUAAUUAUUUAAUUUGAAAUUAUUUAUAAAUUUAUAAAAAAAUUUAAAUUAAGUGAUUUUAUUUUAUUGGGGUGAUAGAAAAAUAAAUUUAACUUUUUUUUUAUGUAAAACAUGAAUAAGUGAUUAUUUGAUCCAGAAUUUUUGAUUAUAAGAAAAAAUUACCUUGGGGAUAACAGCGUAAUUUUUUUUUUUAGAUCAAAUAAAAAAAAGAGUUNGCGACCUCGAUUUUGGAUUAAGAUAAAAUUUAAAUGC
RNAcentral lists this ribosomal RNA (385 nucleotides) under Diatraea saccharalis (sugarcane borer). Its description in RNAcentral is "partial 16S ribosomal RNA". Lineage: Eukaryota; Metazoa; Arthropoda; Insecta; Lepidoptera; Crambidae. The record is from RNAcentral.